GCCCGACUCCGAACCGAGCCACGGGGGCACAGCCGGAGACCGRACAGACGGUCGUUCGCAUGAAGCGUAGAACGCUUUUUUGUSGUGCUCCGAGGCCGAUGCCCCGUACCCACAUGAUAUUCCAUACUCGAGAGACCGAGCAACCCGUCUUGGUUCGUCGACCUGGACGCCGUUUCAGGGGCGAACAGGGCGCGAGACACGACGUGCGCUAUUUGGCCCACCCCGYGCCACAUCACCUUUUGAGGGCAGCAGCACAGGACGGGAAUGGAACGAUGGUAGCCUAUAGAAUGCCCUUGCGAUAGGUAUGAAGCACAGGAAAACYGACGUCGGACGAGCACUUACUCGUUCCAACAACUGAAGAGGCGCGGACGGGAUGUCGUCGCUGCCUGAGCAGGGAUCCGACAUGCCRUUGCGCGCCAAUCACCAC
This 427-nucleotide unclassified non-coding RNA is filed under the name Dracocephalum foetidum. Its description in RNAcentral is "partial external transcribed spacer". The record is from RNAcentral. Lineage: Eukaryota; Viridiplantae; Streptophyta; Magnoliopsida; Lamiales; Lamiaceae.